Molecule: ribosomal RNA, 587 nt
Filed under: Nannengaella mellea
Lineage: Eukaryota; Evosea; Eumycetozoa; Physariida; Physaraceae
Description: SSU rRNA
Rfam family: Eukaryotic small subunit ribosomal RNA
Source: RNAcentral
AACCUGGUUGAUCCUGCCAGUAGUGUAUGCUUCUCCUAAAGACUAAGCCAUGCAUGCCUUCGAAUAAGAAGAAAGCAAUUCUCUCUGAAUCUGCGAACGGCUCCGCAAACCAGUUGUAAACCAUAGCGAGCACGCCCUCGGCCCUCGGGCUGGGGGCGAUAAGGAUAACCCUGGUAAUUCUGAGGCUAAUACUUGACCGUAACACCUGGCCGACCGGCAACGGGAGGCUGGGGGUCGUGUAAGCACCUCACGCAGAAUUCACCGGGAAGGGAUGCACGUUCAGACCACCACAAACAACGGUUGCAGGAGGACCCGCGCAAGCGGCGAUACCUGCUUCCGGGUGGCUCUCGCUCGGUGCUUCUGACCUAUCAACUAGAUGGCAGUGUAAGGGACAUGCUAUGGUUACAACGGGUACAGAGGAUAAGGGUUCGAUCCUGGAGAGUGGGCGUGAGAGAUUGCUCGCACUUCUAAGGAAGGCAGCAGGCGCGCAACGUUCCCAUUGGGCAAUGCCCGAGGGCGUUAGGGGACAUAUGAAUGCCUGUCUCAAAGAUGGACAAUUCAAAUGGGUCUGUUCUAAACAGGCUCUC